AGUUACCUGCCCCUGAGAUUACCCCAAAUAAGUGGCUUGCCCGGCUAUAGACUACACGUGAAAAUCAAAUAAAAAAAAACAAAAAAAAUAUAGAAUUCUGUACCAGUCCUAUCAAUGACAUUGUCAGUGUCAGUUCUAGCUAGGCGCCGUUGAACGUUUUAAUAGCCAGAGCAACAGAAAUAAAUUAGUGUAGAUGUGAUAUAUACGCGCUGCAUUUUGAACAAUCUUAUGAAUAUUUUUUAUUUUCUACUUUUGCAAUCUGUUUUUUUUUCAAUUUUGUUAUUUUAGUCUGAUGCUGAUUUUUUAAAAAAUAAGUCAGUGUUCAUGUAAUUUACUUUUUUUUGUUCACAUUUGUUACAAUGUCACAAAUGUGUUUCCUAUUCUAAUUAAAAUCUGGGACCAAAAUUUUAUUAUUGUUCCAGUUAAAAUAUACAAACCAGGGUAUGAAUUUUUUAAAACUAACGCAGAGAUAUAGAUAAAUCUACAUCUCUAAUAAACGUUAUUGCUAUGACGAAACUGGUAAUAUCUUUUUCUAAAUUUAUAUACUAUUGGAUGCACGUUAACUUGUGUGCAAGAUUUCAGAUUAUUCGCUCACUCUAUUUUUCCAGUAUAAGUGCAAAAUGACCCAAAAAUGAAAAGUGGUUAAACGCUUUUAAAACCCAAAUCGGACAAGAAUUACACAUAAUCGCGGAUUUAGAUAUUACAUUGUAAUUAAGAUCCUUGACAAAAUAGAAUUUAUAUCGAAAUCAAAUCAGAGUACAUAUAUUUAUUAUAUACCUAUAAAUGAAAUAUUGAGAAAUAUUGAUGAAAUAAAACGCUUAUUUUCAUUUUCGUACUUCACUGUAAAAAAGGAUUUUAGUGAAACAUAUUUUCUGUGUAUUCACUGGUGUCUUGCCGGACUUCUCUCUUUCAAAUUUAAGGAAUAGUUUUCUAAAUUGUAAUUUAAGAAUAGAGACAAAUGUAUAUAAUAAACAAAAAAUUCAAGUUUUUUCUAUAAAUACAUGAUUUAUUUUCAUAUUGUGGCAUGAAAAUUAUCACAUUUCACUCGUGGAUACCGCCACUCAUGAAAUAUUUAUUCUCAUACCACUUGAUGAAAAUAAAUCGUGUAUUUACAGAAAAAACUUGAAUAUCCCCUAUACAUUUUAACAUCUUUUGUAUAUUUGUCCUGCAGUUUAUCUAUGUACGAAUUUAUUUUUUAUGUGUUUAGGUUUUAGGACCUCAGUGGAGAUCCUUUAAUUAAAUACCUUAACAAACUUAUAUAUUAUAAACCGUUUUUAACUUUAAGGUCCCAGCUUCUUUCAAUAUUUCAUUUUGAUACCACUUCCAAUUGUUCUUGCGUCUUAAUGCCCGAAUGACGAAUAAAAACUGUUUCGCGCAUGUCACGUGAUGGUGUGCCAACCACGUUAACUUUUUGGUCCUUCCGAAUUAUCCAGGCGGGGAACAAUAGUUUCAUAUAAAUACAUAGCAAAUUAAAUCGUGUGACUGAAAAGAGGUCGGAAAAUGUUUUGCUGGCGUCUUUAACGGAUUUGUUUAGUAAAGUUUUUUGGUGAGAAUCAAUCAGUGGUUAAACAUACAAGAUUGUCCCCGAGCGCUCAAGAUUCAUGGUCGAGUGAUUUUCCAUGCACUUUACUGUUAGCUACAUUUGCGUGAAGUUUGUGAGAGGGACGUGACGGAAACAAAAGUAUGGCAGAUUUGGAAUUGUUUCUUUUAUUUUAGGACGUCGAAGAACUUAGUAUCAAUCAAAAAUAUAUGAAUAAUUGAUAGUUGGCAUAUGAGGUCUAACAAAGUAUUGACACGGAUGAUUGACGUGUGAUAUGUAAAAAUGAUGGCCAUGUUGAUGACAAUGUUGUUUUGAUGAGGACGUCCAUGGGUGUUACAGUGAUGAUGGAAUGACGUUGUUCAAGUGAGCAUCAGCAGACGUAAAGCAGGAAAUGGCGGGAAGAAUCCUAGCAGACGACAGUUGUCGCGCAGAUGCAAUCAUGCACCAUAUCAGACUGCCCGAAAUUACAGGCUGGCCCAGCUCUAUACUGGACUCGCUUUCAGCAUGUUACAGUAGGGUUUGAAAAAGGAAAUCAUAACUUUGUAACGUAGCAGACGACAAUAAAUUUUAAAGUGGAAAUUUGCGACUUCCGGUGUGUCUGCUACUCGAUGUUGUGAUCUUAGUUACUUCCCCUGACGUUCAGUAUAUGAAAUGAGGGUCGAGGUAAGUAAAGAUAUUUUGAAGAAAUACAAAAUUUAGCUAAACAUAGAACAAUACAUUUUACAGAUAAGGCUUUGUGAGUCGCUGAUUACACCUUUAACUCCGCAAAAUAUUUUAAAUGGACUUGCCCAUCUUCAAAUCUG
This is a long non-coding RNA of Ruditapes philippinarum (Manila clam), 2343 nucleotides long. RefSeq lists it as uncharacterized. The record is from RefSeq and is a predicted model, not a curated record. NCBI's taxonomy places the organism in Eukaryota, Metazoa, Mollusca, Bivalvia, Venerida, Veneridae. The transcript has 4 exons.